GCCGAAGUGGCGGAAUGGUAGACGCGCACGCUUCAGGAGCGUGUUCCCUCACGGGAGUGGAGGUUCAACUCCUCUCUUCGGCA
RNAcentral lists this transfer RNA (83 nucleotides) under Candidatus Woesebacteria bacterium. RNAcentral's name for it is "tRNA-Leu". It matches the Rfam family "tRNA". Rfam says of the family: Transfer RNA (tRNA) molecules are approximately 80 nucleotides in length. Their secondary structure includes four short double-helical elements and three loops (D, anti-codon, and T loops). The record is from RNAcentral. Lineage: Bacteria; Candidatus Woeseibacteriota.